UUAGAUUAGGGUGUUACAGCAUGGUAUCAGAGCAGGUCUACUUUCCUGUAGACUCUGCAAAAUAUUUUACAUAAAAUUCUUAAAUGUCAUGUGUGAGAAAAUCCAUUCGACCUCUACGUGCUCCGACUUCAAGGUAAAUGUAUUUUAAAAGUAUUUCAAAAUAUUUUUAUAGGGAUGAGUAUAAAUUGUUUACGUUGAAAGUAUGUUGAAAUUUGCUGCAAUAAUUGAAGUUAUUAUCAGAAAGUUCAAGUUCAUUAUGCAAGUUAUUAUGAGAAAGUUCAG
This 282-nucleotide long non-coding RNA is filed under the name Salvia miltiorrhiza (redroot sage). Its description in RNAcentral is "long non-coding RNA (SMIL_LNC012782)". Lineage: Eukaryota; Viridiplantae; Streptophyta; Magnoliopsida; Lamiales; Lamiaceae. The record is from RNAcentral.